RNAcentral lists this ribosomal RNA (497 nucleotides) under uncultured bacterium. RNAcentral's name for it is "bacterial SSU rRNA". It matches the Rfam family "Bacterial small subunit ribosomal RNA", at positions 29 to 503 of the family's 1533-position model. The record is from RNAcentral.
AGCGAACGUUAGCGGCAGGCUUAACACAUGCAAGUCGAGCGAGAAAGGGGCUUCGGCCCUGAGUAAAGCGGCGGACGGGUGCGUAACACGUGGAUAAUCUGCCCUUCAGUGGGGAAUAACGUUCCGAAAGGAACGCUAAUGCCGCAUGUCACAGCAAUGUCUCUGGACAAAGUUGGAAAAGGGGACGCCCGCAAGGGGUUCUCGCUGGAGGAUGAGUCCGCGGCCCAUCAGCUUGUUGGCGGGGUAAUGGCCCACCAAGGCGAAGACGGGUAGCUGGUCUGAGAGGAUGAUCAGCCACACUGGAACUGAGACACGGUCCAGACUCCUACGGGAGGCAGCAGUAGGGAAUAUUGGACAAUGGGGGCAACCCUGAUCCAGCCAUGCCGCGUGAGUGAAGAAGGCCCUCGGGUUGUAAAGCUCUUUUGUCCGGAAAGAAAAGCAUCUGGUUAAUACCCGGGUGUUCUGACGGUACCGGAAGAAUAAGCACCGGCUAACUU